GAUGAACGCUGGCGGCGUGCUUAACACAUGCAAGUCGAGCGAGAAGUUUUGAACAGAUUCUUCGGAUGCAAUUUAAAAUGGAAAGCGGCGGACGGGUGAGUAACGCGUAGGCACCCUGCCCCAUACAAAGGGAUAGCAUUUGGAAACGAAUAUUAAUACCUUAUGAAACUUAACUAGUGCAUGCUAGGUAGGUCAAAGAUUUAUCGGUAUGGGAUGGGCCUGCGUCUGAUUAGCUAGUUGGUGAGGUAACGGCUCACCAAGGCGACGAUCAGUAGCCGACCUGAGAGGGUGAACGGCCACAUUGGAACUGAGACACGGUCCAAACUCCUACGGGAGGCAGCAGUGGGGAAUAUUGCACAAUGGGGGAAACCCUGAUGCAGCAACGCCGCGUGAACGAUGAAGGCCUUUGGGUCGUAAAGUUCUGUUCUAGGUGAUGAAAACUGACAGUAACCUAGGAGAAAGCCCCGGCUAACUCCGU
Molecule: ribosomal RNA, 478 nt
Filed under: uncultured bacterium
Lineage: Bacteria
Description: partial 16S ribosomal RNA
Rfam family: Bacterial small subunit ribosomal RNA
Source: RNAcentral